This 153-nucleotide ribosomal RNA is filed under the name Ampelomyces sp. HMLAC218. RNAcentral's name for it is "5.8S ribosomal RNA". It matches the Rfam family "5.8S ribosomal RNA". Rfam says of the family: 5.8S ribosomal RNA (5.8S rRNA) is a component of the large subunit of the eukaryotic ribosome. It is transcribed by RNA polymerase I as part of the 45S precursor that also contains 18S and 28S rRNA. The record is from RNAcentral. Lineage: Eukaryota; Fungi; Ascomycota; Dothideomycetes; Pleosporales; Phaeosphaeriaceae.
ACUUUCAACAACGGAUCUCUUGGUUCUGGCAUCGAUGAAGAACGCAGCGAAAUGCGAUAAGUAGUGUGAAUUGCAGAAUUCAGUGAAUCAUCGAAUCUUUGAACGCACAUUGCGCCCCUCGGUAUUCCAUGGGGCAUGCCUGUUCGAGCGUCA